Long non-coding RNA from Halichondria panicea, 2371 nucleotides. RefSeq lists it as uncharacterized. NCBI's taxonomy places the organism in Eukaryota, Metazoa, Porifera, Demospongiae, Suberitida, Halichondriidae. The transcript is spliced from 14 exons. The record is from RefSeq and is a predicted model, not a curated record.
CCUGUAUGCAGAUGUAAUCGCCCACGGCCUGCUUACAUCCUGGAACCACAGGCCCGUUACAGCACGUACAUCCUGUCCUGAAUACAGCCCGUAAAUAACGGGCCUGUUUCAGCCUGUACCACCCACGUCCUGCUUACAGCCUGUGCAGCCAGUGUAUGCGCAUGCGCAGAGAGAAAGUUGCUUAGCUACGAAAUCCACCAAGAGACUGAAAAGGUGCUUCAGUUUGAUCUUCUCCUUCAGUUGCAGCUUUAAAGGAUGGAUGGAGUAAUUAUAUUAUUUAUGGAGCUGACUGCCAAGGCCAGCUAGCAAGAAAAAGAGAGAGAGAGAGGAACUGCUAGAUGUCUCUGCAAUUCUUCUCUCACUGUCUCUAGGAGUCUAGCUCUAUAGGCUACAAGAUCUGGUUGACUCUGACACAGGUUGUUGACUUCUAAUACAAUGUUAUAAGAAUACACAUCUAAAAAGGAGGAUAUGCACCUCUACAACGACUACUAAAUAGUUGUCUGUGUCAUCAUUACUUUAUGAGCUCGAGAUUCAGAUGUACCUGUGUCUAUGUCAUCAUUACUGUACUGAUUGAGCUCGAGAGAUUGAGGUUCCUAUUCACACUACUUGAGAAUGUGAGCCAAUUUUUACCAUCAAUGAUUUCAACCCGUCAUGACCAGAAGCAUCGUGGACACACCUAUACUUUAGAAUUUGGCAGUUAAGUUACUGGCUCUGGACAUGGCUGGUCUGUGACAGUACAAACAGUCGAACAAAAAAGGUAUAAAUGGUAAGACUAUAUUCACUAUAUACACACAGUGACAGAGGACGUGGCUGGUCUGUGGACAGUACGAACAGUCGAACAACACAUUAUAUUGUGACGAGGACAUGGCUGGUCUGUGGACAGUACGAACAGUCGAACAACACAUAAUGUGACACACUCGAGCAGCACAAGCACUAGAAGAAACAUUCCUGUUAGUGUUGUACACUGUUGAACUGUCUGGCUAUGUUUGUUUCUUAAUUAAAAGUGUUAACACUUUGUGGAAUUAUUUAUGCCAAACUCAGCUUUUAACUGUAUAAAAGCAAACCGCAGAACUAACUGAGAACAUAGGGCUGCUUACAGCCCGUUCUACGGCUAAUCACAUGCUGAAAUCCACAGACUGCUAAGCAGUAUCUAACCAAACAGUUGAAUACACCACGUGGUUUCAUGCCUGUAACGGGCCCGUAACAUGCAUGAAACGGCCCGUGGAUUAUUGGCUGUGUAGUCCAGUGGAAGUGGGUGUGUUGGCACUGAGAAAGAUGGGCGUGUCCCGAGCCACGUGGAGUAGCUAGCUAGAGUAGAGUAGAGAAUGGCUAGUAAAAAAGAUGCAUUGGAUAAGGUUAAGGGAGGAGAGAGCAUCAGCAAGAAGAGGUCACUGAAGCAGCAGAUCAGGGACACACAGAGAUUGCUGACAAAGGAGGACCUCCCGGAGACAGUGCGGCUGACCAAGGAGAGGGUAUUGAAAUCCCUCCAUGGAGAGCUCAACGACAAGGCUAGUCAGAGGCAGAAGCAGAAUAUCUCAAAAAAGUACCGGAGGUCAAGUUCUUUGGUGAGUAACUCUAAUUAUACGAAACUUGACCCAUACAGCACCAUACAAAGUUGGUCUCACCCAAAAAAAUAAUUUUUCUGGCACUUAAUAAUAACAGUUACUACGAUAGUGAUCAUUCAGUAGUGUGUGUGUGUGUGUGUUUGUGGUGUCUUCCCGCCCACCCAGAUAAAAGGAAAGUGGUGCGUAGACUAAGCCGAGCGUGCAAGGAGUUCAGUGAGGGUGGUCUCACAGAGGACGAGGGCACUUUCCUCCUGAUGAGAAGUACAUCUCCCUCUACCCUAGCUCCACCCCCAGUAGUGAGUCUGCUCUCACCAAGCGAGAGGAGUUGCUGACAUGCAUAGCAGAGAGUGUAGCAAGUGGAGAGCUACCUGAUGCUGCCUCAUUGGAGAGAGAGGUGGUCCUUCCCGGGGAACUGGCGGGCUCUGUCACAAAGUCACAUGAGACUAGCAGACAGCCUGUACAACAUCGGGAGAGGGCACCAAAGAGGAAAAAGAGGAUCUCUAAUGAGAGUGAAGUUGAUUCUGUUAUUGUGGAAACAAGCAAAAAGAAACUUCGAGAAGACGGAUUCUUUUUAGUAGAUAGUAGAACAUGAUUUUAAUUAAGGUAUGUACUGUGUUCAGUUUGUGUGUCAACAACUUGAUAGUUACACAUUUGUGUUGUACGUCGUUUCCAUAGUUACACGUCUGUGUUGUAUGGCGUAUCCAAUAGCGACUCCAUUUCCUCUGUAACCACUCGGUCUGCUCUUUGUGUCUUGUUCUCUUUGAGAGCUUUUAAAUUUUUCCCUGCAAAAAAUAUUAUUGAACAUA